RNAcentral lists this ribosomal RNA (143 nucleotides) under uncultured eukaryote. RNAcentral describes it as "partial 18S ribosomal RNA". It matches the Rfam family "Eukaryotic small subunit ribosomal RNA", at positions 1299 to 1458 of the family's 1831-position model. The record is from RNAcentral.
UGGUGGAGUGAUUUGUCUGGUUAAUUCCGUUAACGAACGAGACCUCGACCUGCUAAAUAGUUUGGCGAAUUCCCUGUGGAUUCGCACGUAACUUCUUAGAGGGACUAUCGGUUCGCAGCCGGUGGAAGUUCGAGGCAAUAACA